GGGCAAGUGGAAUUGGAGAACACUCCACUGGAUUCAUUUUAGGCUAUAAAUAGAAGAAUUACUGAAUUUUUUCCUUCUAAGUCACUUGCAUUUACCCCAGCAGUUUGUUACCGAGGCAAGCAGUCCUGAACACGAUGGGACAUGACAAUAGGAAAUGUAGCCUGAAGAAUAAGCAAUUCUUUGUUGCAAAGAACCAAAAUAAGCACAUCAGAGCAAGUUCAGAAGCCAAGAACUGCAGGUGCAACACUGCAAGCGUAGAGACUAUGGAACCAGCUGCGGCCCUUUGCUCAUCAGCAGCUGAGCAGGUCCACGAGGAAAGGCCGAGAACACACAGGGUGUUUCAAAGGCUGGCAGAGAGCUGCCAGUGUGCUGUGAGUGUCCACCUGCCCCACCCUCCGCGGGGAGGGAGGCUUUCCCUUCACCUCAAGCCAACGAGAAAGGAACUGCCUGAGAAAACCCUCCUGGAAAAAUCUGACAUGGGUUCUCUGAAGUUUGAAGAGCCAGCUGUAAGUCAGCUGAAAAGAACUUUUUUCAAGAAGACAUUCUGCCAGAAUGAGGCAUCUACAGCAGGAAGGGGCUGGAGAUACUUUGUCGAAAACAGAACCUGAGUUGGGAGUGCGGGGCAGGAAGCUUGUAAACAGUCAGCUGAAGGACCAGCCACACCAGGGAUCUGUGGUCUCCAGGCGGAGGGUUCUCAGAAGAACCCAUAAUAUUAUAUAUAUAUAUAUAAAAUCCAUAUAUCAUAUAUUUCUUUAUAUAUAAUAGUAGGUCCUUGCUACUUAUCUGUUUUAUAUAUAGUAGUGUGUACCAGUUAAUCCUAAACUCCUAAUUUAUCCCUCCCUCCCCUGCCGUUUCCCCUUUGGUAACCGUAAGGUUGUGUUCUAUGUCUAUGAGUCUAUUUCUGUUUUGUAAUAAGUUCAUUUGUUUCAUUUUUAUAGAUUUCACAUGUGAGUGAUACCACAUGGUGUUUGUCUUUGACUUACUUCACUCAGUAUGGUAAUCUCUAGGUCCAUUAAUGUUGAUACAAAAUUGCAUUAUUUAAUUAUUUUAUUAUGGCUAAUAAUUCCAUUGUGGAUAGAUAGAAAGAUAGAUGAUAGAUAGAUCACAUCUCCUUUUGGAGGUCAAUAUUCUUAGGUGAAUUUGUACCUGAAUAAAAGACUAAAUCCAAGGAAUCUUUUAAUUAUC
This 1185-nucleotide long non-coding RNA is filed under the name Bos indicus x Bos taurus (hybrid cattle). RNAcentral's name for it is "lncRNA (ENSBIXG00000007610.1)". Lineage: Eukaryota; Metazoa; Chordata; Mammalia; Artiodactyla; Bovidae. The record is from RNAcentral.